This 87-nucleotide ribosomal RNA is filed under the name Roseburia zhanii. RNAcentral's name for it is "partial 16S ribosomal RNA". It matches the Rfam family "Bacterial small subunit ribosomal RNA", at positions 1455 to 1533 of the family's 1533-position model. The record is from RNAcentral. Lineage: Bacteria; Bacillati; Bacillota; Clostridia; Lachnospirales; Lachnospiraceae.
GCCGAAGGCAGGUUCGAUAACUGGGGUGAAGUCGUAACAAGGUAGCCGUAUCGGAAGGUGCGGCUGGAUCACCUCCUUUCUAAGGAA